RNAcentral lists this long non-coding RNA (1559 nucleotides) under Homo sapiens (human). RNAcentral describes it as "non-protein coding lnc-VAV3-3:1". Lineage: Eukaryota; Metazoa; Chordata; Mammalia; Primates; Hominidae. The record is from RNAcentral.
AAUCAUUGAUUGUUUUCAAAUAACCACAAAGAUAUCGGAACACUAUACCUGCUAUUUGGCUCAUGAGCGGGGAUAGUAGGCCAUCACCUUAAGCCUUCUAAUUCGAGCAGAAUUGGGCCAACCAGGGACUCUGCUAGAAGAUGAUCAGAUCUACAACGUUAUUGUUGCUGCCCACACAUUCGUUAUAAUCUUCUUUAUAGUAAUACCAAUCACGAUUGGGGUUUUGGCAACUGCCUAGUCCCUCUGAUAACUGGUGCACCCGAUAUGGCAUUCCCUGGAUAAAUAAUAUGAGCUUCUGACUUCUCCCCGCCAUCUUUUCUACUCCUACUUGCGUCCUCAAUAGUAGAAGCUGGCGCUUGAAUCAGCUAAACAGUUUAUCCCCCUUUAGCAGGAAACCUAGCACAUGCAGGAGCCUCUGGAUCUGAUCAUCUUCUCGCUCCACUUAGCAGGUGUUUCUUCUAUUUUGGGGGCCAUUAACUUUAUUGCCACAAUUAUUAACAUAAAACCCCCAACCAUAUCCCAGUAUCAAGCAUCCCUUUUUGUCUGAUCAAUCCUCAUUACCGCAGUCCUUCUACUCCUUUUCCCCCAAGUCCUAGCUACUGUCAUUACUAUACUAUUAACUGACUGUAACCUCAACACUACUUUUUUUGACCCUGCUGGUGGGGGUGACUUUGUCUGGUACCAAUCUUGUACCAACAUUUAUUCUGAUUGUUUGGUCACACUGAAGUCUAUAUCCUUAUCCUACCAGGCUUCAGGAUAAUCUUCCACAUCAUAACAUAUUAUUCUGGAAACAAAAGUAACCAUUUGGUUACAUGGGUAUAGUAGUAGUCAUAAUAUCAAUUGGCUUCUUGGGAUUUAUAAUAUGAGCCCACCAUAUAUUUACAGUAGGAAUAGGUGUAGACACACGAGCAUACUUCACCUCCGCUACUAUAAUUAUAGCUAUCCCUACUGGCAUCAAGGUCUACAGCUAAUUAGCUACACUGCAUGGUGGUAAUAUCAAAUGACCUCCUGCAAUAUUCUGAGCCCUAGGAUUCAUUUUUCUUUUCAAAGUAGGAAGUUUAAACGGCAUCGUACUAGCUAACUCAUCACUAGACAUUGUCUUACAUGACACAUAUUAUGUUGUAGCCCAUUUCCGCUACGUCCUAUCAAUAGGAGCAGUAUUCACCAUUAUAGGAGGCUUUGUCCACUGAUUCCCCCUAUUUUCAGGUUAUACACUUAAUCAGACCUACGCUGAUCAAAUCCACUUAAUCAAAUCCACUUCACCAUUAUAUUCGUAGGUGUUAAUUUAACCUUUUUUUCCACAGCACUUCCUUGGCCUAUCCAGUAUGCCUCGAUGUUACUCUGAUUAUCCUGAUGUGUAUGCCGGAUGAAAUGUUAUUUCAUCUGUAGGCUCAUUUAUCUCACCAACAGCAGUUAUACUAACAAUCUUUAUAACCUGAGAAGCUUUUGCUUCAAAACGAAAAGUACUAACAAUCGAACAAUCAUCUACUAAUUUAGAGUGGCUUUAUGGCUGUCCACCACCUUACCACACAUUCCAAGAGCCAACCUACGUGAAAACC